Oryza sativa Japonica Group (Japanese rice) is the source of this 765-nucleotide long non-coding RNA. RefSeq lists it as uncharacterized. Lineage: Eukaryota; Viridiplantae; Streptophyta; Magnoliopsida; Poales; Poaceae. The record is from RefSeq and is a predicted model, not a curated record.
GCAAACACAUCCGUCUCUCUCUCUCUCUCUCUCUCCCCUACUACUAUCUCCUCCUGCCCUUCCAAUUUAUGUUACAAACAAAUCGUUGGUUCCUCUUUUUUCUUCAGUUUGUUUCAGUGCAACUCAGUUCUUGGAAAGAAAGGUUGGAUUUUUACUCUGAACAAAGCGAAAGGUGUGGCAAUGGGCGGCAGCGGAACGCUGAUCUCCAUUUACCCUGAGGAUCUCACUUUCCUAUUUGAGCUGGAUAAGCGGUGCUAUUGCAAUCUCAAGGUGGUGAACAACAGCGAGCAUCAUGCUGCAUUCAAGGUCCAUGGCCUUCCAUUUCAUGACCAAUAUUUUCUAAAACUUGGCGAGAAGGCUUGAUGAAAGUUUGUUUCAUGUCAAGACGACAUUACCGAGGAAGUAUUUUGUCCGGCCGAACACGAGCAUUGUCCAGCCAUGGGAUUCUUGCACAAUAACAAGUAAAUAGUACCUUCGCCGCAUAAUAAGUUAAUCUAAUACGAGAUGUGACAUAUCCCAGUACUUGUCCAAAUUCAUAGUACUAGUAUAUAUCACAUCUUGUAUUAGAUUAAUUUAUUCUGGGACGGAGGGAAUACAUGUUCCUAAUUUGGCCAUUUUAUGGUAUGCCAAGCCAUGGCUCUCUUCAGGCUCCUUGUUUGGUCUUGAUAUUUGGAUAUCUGCAUUGUUCUUGGGUGAUGUAGUUACGCUCCAGGCACAUAAAUAGUGCCCACCAAAUAUGCAAUGCAAGGAUAAAUUCUUGAUCCA